Molecule: ribosomal RNA, 508 nt
Filed under: Evarcha proszynskii
Lineage: Eukaryota; Metazoa; Arthropoda; Arachnida; Araneae; Salticidae
Description: partial 16S ribosomal RNA
Rfam family: Bacterial large subunit ribosomal RNA
Source: RNAcentral
UUAAUAGUAAAAUCUGCUCAAUGAUAAAUUUCAAUAGCCGCAAUUCGUGCUAAGGUAGCAUAAUCAUUUGUCUUUUAAAUGAGGACCAGAACAAAAGAUUUAACAUUUUCAUUUUAUUUACCAAUUUUAUUCCAUUAAAAUUUUCCUAAAUGUAAAAAGACAUUUAUUUAAUAGAAAGACGACAAGACCCUAUUGAACUUAACUUAAGUUAAACUGGGGCAGUUUUUUAAUUAUCAUUUUAAUCAUUUUAAAAAUAUACUUAUCUAAUAAAAUUAAGUAAUCCAGUUACCAUAGGGAUAACAGCGUAAUUAUAUUCUAAAGAUCUUAUUUAUAAUUUAGAUUGCGACCUCGAUGUUGAAUUAAUAACCUAAUUAAGGCAAGACUUAAAAAAGGAGGUCUGUUCGACCUUUAAAAAAUUACAUGAUUUGAGUUCAGACCGGUACAAGCCAGGUCGGCUUCUAUCUCCUAAAAAGUUUUCUACAGUACGAAAGGGACCAGAAAUAUAAUU